GAUGAACGCUGGCGGCGUGCCUAAUACAUGCGAGUCGAGCGAACGGACGAGAAGCUUGCUUUUCUGAUGUUAGCGGCGGACGGGUGAGUAACACGUGGAUAACCUACCUAUAAGACUGGGAUAACUUCGGGAAACCGGAGCUAAUACCGGAUAAUAUUUUGAACCGCAUGGUUCAAAAGUGAAAGACGGUCUUGCUGUCACUUAUAGAUGGAUCCGCGCUGCAUUAGCUAGUUGGUAAGGUAACGGCUUACCAAGGCAACGAUGCAUAGCCGACCUGAGAGGGUGAUCGGCCACACUGGAACUGAGACACGGUCCAGACUCCUACGGGAGGCAGCAGUAGGGAAUCUUCCGCAAUGGGCGAAAGCCUGACGGAGCAACGCCGCGUGAGUGAUGAAGGUCUUCGGAUCGUAAAACUCUGUUAUUGGGAAGAACAUAUGUGUAAGUAACUGUGCACAUCUUGACGGUACCUAAUCAGAAAGCCACGGCUAACUACGUG
Molecule: ribosomal RNA, 496 nt
Filed under: uncultured bacterium
Lineage: Bacteria
Description: partial 16S ribosomal RNA
Rfam family: Bacterial small subunit ribosomal RNA
Source: RNAcentral